Molecule: long non-coding RNA, 2068 nt
Organism: Dromaius novaehollandiae (emu)
Lineage: Eukaryota; Metazoa; Chordata; Aves; Casuariiformes; Dromaiidae
Exons: 5
Source: RefSeq, a predicted model, not a curated record
CUGCACAGUAGCUCUGCAUAACCAGAAUACCUGUGCACUGAUAUCUUCCAGCCCUGCACAUCUGAAAGAGAAAGUCAAGACCUGCAAGGUCAAAAAAGACAGCAAAUAGGCUAUUAAGAAUGUUUAGAGAUUUGUGAUAAGGCUCUUCAAACCAGACCACUAAGAUAAGUUUCAGCACCAAGGCUCUUGAUAGCACAUUGUGGGCUCUCUCUAGACGUAGCCAGUUCUCCCUAGCAGAGGAACCUGAGAUCCCAUCCUGGUCCUGGCUUGGCAAAAGGCCCUUAGUGCUCUCUGCACUCUGGCCUGACCUCUGCUCCUCUGCUGUUCUCAGUCCUGUUAUCUUCUCUCUUCCAAAAUGACUCAUCUGAAGCAAUCGUCAAGUUGGCACAUGUGAAAAAACUCAGCACCAACAUUGCCAGCAAACUUUUACGUGCAGACGGUAGAGAAGUUGCAAAGCCAGCUGGCAGAAUGGCAUGUGGAGAUGGAUGUUUUUUCCACAUGCAGAACCUGGCUCCAAACUAUGGUUCAGAGACCCAAACUCCAGGAUAGUCCCCUUCCUAAGGCUAAAGAAAAGGAUGUAGGAAGAUCAUGCUGUAUUCUCUGUGUCUGUAACUUUUUAGCCAAAGCACUGAAAUAGUCUUUACAGGUGUAAUUGAUUGUAAUUCAACUUGAACACACUGAAUGAAGUGCACUAGGUGAUUUGGAUACCUGUCUUCUCACUCGCAGUUUGCUUUUACAGAGCUGCCAGCACAGCUCUGGAGGUAAGCUGCGUGUCCUUUACGUCAAAGUGCUGCAGUGGAGCUGGGGGUAGGACCAAUAGAACCUUCGUUCUAUUCCUUGAAAAACCUCACAAACGUCAAGAAUUGUUAUUUUUUCUUUGAAACAAAGACCUUCAGACAGCCUUCAUGAUGAAAUAAGUCCGUUAAAGCACUAGCCAAUAGCCUGGUAUGUUGGGAAUUUUCUUGGGAAAUAGUGACUCAGAUCAAUUUCCUAUUAAAAGAAAUUUUCUGCCUGUGAAAAUGAAGGAUGUGGAUCUGCUUGUGGAAAGGCCUCUAACUGACAUGACAUUUCAAAGAGCAGGAGCUUCAGCUGAGCUGGUGCCAAACCAAGCUUGAGAGCAAUGCUAGUACUAUCAUACUUGUGGGAAGAUGACCUGCAGGGACAUGGGGCUGGAGAGCUAUUUCAGCAGGUCUGAUGAGAAAUUAGGUGCUUCAGUUGUGAGGACUGUGGACCUGACACUUCCAUGAGUAUGUAGCUGAGAUGUGCAUCUCAGCAAGAGAGAGGGGCAGCGAAAUGCUAUGAGGUUUCCACAUUUUAGUGCAGAGUCAGUCUUAGAGCUCUGCCAAGCAGGUCACUUUCCCAACUCUCCCUUCCACUAAAUGAGGAAUCACUUGCUUUCUUUGCAAGGAAAUUAAUGCAUAAAACUGCACACACCUUUCCUGGAGAGUGAAGGAAAAGUAUAGUAUUCACAGUGGGUCAGGAGCCGUGCUCCAAAAUUGUUCCAUACAUAAAAUCACCGACUCCCAUAGCCUAGAGUAAGAAUUUUUGCAAAUGCUGAAUAAAAACAUAGCAAUUUUCUGAGUAAGAAUUAAUAGAAGCACAAGAAAUGACAUUAAUUAUAUUAAUCUUAUUGUCUACCAAUAGCUGCUUUCAAUCAUUUUAUAUUCAAUAGCAUGCAUCAUCAUGAACUGGUGAUGGAUAGAGAAGAAAAAAGGUAGUGAUACUGAAAGUUAUACAGUUAUAAAUUAGAGCAUAUUUUUAAACUAUUGUGAAGUCAUAGCUUCUUGAGAUAACAUAAAAUUAUAGGAUGUGUGCACAUCCUAAAUUGAAUCCUGGAGAAUUUUGUACUGUUCAUGUGCUAGUGGAUUAUUGUUUGGGUAACACUGCCUGGGGAAAGUACAAAACUAUUUUCACAAGUUCCUGCUCCAAACACUAUUCUUAACCCCAAGGAACCAGUAUGGGGACAGCACAAGCCAUUGUGUAUUGGACAUAUUCAGAGCCAUGGUCACUUACUAUUUGGGGAGCAGCUAUGGAGGCACUGUAACCUCAGGUCCCCAGCCUCAGCCCU